RNAcentral lists this long non-coding RNA (1543 nucleotides) under Theobroma cacao (cacao). RNAcentral describes it as "long non-coding RNA (TCAC_LNC001024)". The record is from RNAcentral. Lineage: Eukaryota; Viridiplantae; Streptophyta; Magnoliopsida; Malvales; Malvaceae.
GGGAACAAAGAGAAAAAGAGAAGAACAAACCCUUGGAAAGAAAAAUUCAAGAGAAAUUGUUGGAUUUCAAGAAAUCAAGCAAGUAAAGGUAAGAUUUUUUAAUUUUAGCUUGUGAUCUACCUUUCCCAUGCAUUCUUUUUCAUUCUCCAUGGCUGAAAUUCAAGUUUUCAAGAGGGAACCUUUGCUGGCCAAAUCUAGAGAGAGAAGUUUUGGUGAUGAAUUUUGCUAGAUUUCAUAAUAUCCUAGUGUUUUUAGUCAUUUUGUGAUGUUUGGAAGGAAAAACAAGCAAGAAAAUCACAUGUUCUUCAACCACCCUCAUUUGGCCGAAUUUUCCAUAGGGUAUGUUGAUGAUGGAUUUGGUUGUAAAUCAUGUUAUUUAGCUAGGAAUUGAUGAUUUAUGGUAUCGGAUAUCGAAAUCGGAAUGAAUUUCGAUUAUGGUGAAUUAAGUCAUAAUUAAGCUUAUUGAGGUACUUUAGUGUAUUUGGAAUAUUGGUAGUGUAAUGAAGAUAUUUGGAGUUGAAUUGGAUGUUUUGGCUAAUUAAACAAGGCAUAGUGCGAGUUAGGUCGAAUGCCAAUUCAGUCCGAUCAUAAUUGAACCCAUGUAGAACACCGUCUUUAAGUGAUUAUUUGGUCAAUUCUCAUUCAAUGUCAUGCAUUCAUAUAGAGCUUGAAAUAGUUUUAUAACAGUUUGGCACAAAUAUAUUGAAUUACGUGUCGUGUAUUAUGUAUUGGUGGUGAGCCCUCUGAUAAGGGUAAAGAUAUUGUACCUGAGGACCAAGAAUAAGAGUACCCCAAACUCCUACUAUUGUGAGUAAUCAAAUAUUCAUCUUAAUUAUCUAAAGUGGUUUAUACUUGUUUUAAGAUUUUAAAGAAUAAGGCACUUAAUUUUUAAAUUAUUAUGUUUUACAUUUUAAACGUUGGUUAAUGAAUGAGAUUUAUAAAUUAUUCUGAAACUAAAUGUUGAUUUUCGAAAUAGAGUAAGUGGAGGCUAUACAUUCGUAUUAUAUAUAUAUACAUGAUUUGAAUUGAUGGCUUAUGAAAUUGUGGUAGCAUGAAUGGCUGAAAAUUGUGGUUUUGUGAAUUAUAUAAAUUGUUUUGUCUUACAUUGACAGGUUGGAUAGUACUAUAUUAGCCAUGUUAUGCUGCCAAAUUUUUAUUGAUUUGGUGGGUUAUGUAUUUAGCUUACUGCAGUGAGCAGGUUUCCGUGGACCAACCUAUUAGAGGGGUACAGUAAACCCCGUUAUAUUUUACCUUAGUAUGAGAGGCACAGAGGGUAUCUCCUAAGGUAAGUUUAGAGUUCACUUCACAUCGAACCACCACGUGAGAAUGAAACUCAGCCAACGUCAAGGAAUGACUAUAUUUUAAAAGUAAAAACAUGUUUUAUGGGUAUAUGUCGUUUUAACAUCCUUGGCGGACUCGGUUGGAUGCCCGGGCCAAGGUGUCCCUGAGUAUAAGUUUUGGCACAAACCAAGUUUUUAAGAGAAUCAUAAGCCUUGUUGAUUAUUUUGAUGAAACGUAAUUGUUUUAUAUGAAUUGAAAUGAG